CCAAUAGCGUAUAUUAAAGUUGUUGCAGUUAAAAAGCUCGUAGUUGAAUUUCGGGGUCAGUAGGUCGGUCGUGCCACUGGUAUGAACUGGUUUUACUGAUUCCUCCCUCUUGAAGAACUGUAAUGCCAUUAAUUUGGUGUUGCAGGGAAUCAGGACUGUUACUUUGAAAAAAUUAGAGUGUUUAAAGCAGGCUUUAGCUUGAAUACAUUAGCAUGGAAUAAUGAAAUAGGACGUUUGAUCCUAUUUUGUUGGUUUCUAGGAUUGACGUAAUGAUUAAUAGGGAUAGUUGGGGGCAUUAGUAUUCAAUUGUCAGAGGUGAAAUUCUUGGAUUUAUUGAAGACUAACUACUGCGAAAGCAUUUGCCAAGGAUGUUUUCAUUAAUCAAGAACGAAAGUUAGGGGAUCGAAGACGAUCAGAUACCGUCGUAGUCUUAACCAUAAACUAUGCCGACUAGGGAUCGGAUGAUGUUAAUUUUUUAAUGACUCAUUC
RNAcentral lists this ribosomal RNA (489 nucleotides) under uncultured Glomus. RNAcentral's name for it is "SSU rRNA". It matches the Rfam family "Eukaryotic small subunit ribosomal RNA", at positions 591 to 1081 of the family's 1831-position model. Lineage: Eukaryota; Fungi; Glomeromycota; Glomeromycetes; Glomerales; Glomeraceae. The record is from RNAcentral.